Molecule: long non-coding RNA, 452 nt
Organism: Lycium ferocissimum
Lineage: Eukaryota; Viridiplantae; Streptophyta; Magnoliopsida; Solanales; Solanaceae
Exons: 2
Source: RefSeq, a predicted model, not a curated record
UUGAAGUGUAGAAAAUCCCCCUUUACGUUGACAAGUUCAAGUGUUGAAAAUCGCCUCUUGAACAAACACCUCCACAACCGGAAACUAAGUUGAAUUUUCAGAAAGUAUUAUUCCUAAUUCUAAGUUUUUUUUUGGGUUGUCGAAAUCCCCUCUUUUGGUUCUCGGCUGAGCAAGGAUUACUCCGAGCGGAUUCGAAGACUCGACGACGAUAAUAGCCUCAGUUCGCUUUCAUUCUUCAUUUGUUGCGAGCUGGUGUAAAACGACUAAUCACACUUAGUAGAAUUAGCAAUUAAUCCAUCAAAAAGUGUGUAACUAUGUUGCCAUUAUGUAUAUCUCUGCUGGACAUGUUUAUCCGAAUUUGUUUUACCUCUUUUGUUUAAAAUCGCGAACGCACUGUAGAUCUUAGAGGAAAGCUAUUCGUUCGUUAAAAAAAAAUAAGAAAGCAAAUAAGC